Molecule: ribosomal RNA, 301 nt
Filed under: uncultured bacterium
Lineage: Bacteria
Description: partial 16S ribosomal RNA
Rfam family: Bacterial small subunit ribosomal RNA
Source: RNAcentral
CAGUCGCCGCGGGAAUACGGAGGGGGCUAGCGUUGUUCGGAAUUACUGGGCGUAAAGCGUGCGUAGGUGGUGGUUUAAGUCCGUUGUGAAAGCCCUGGGCUCAACCUGGGAAUUGCAGUGGAUACUGGGUCACUAGAGUGUGGUAGAGGAUAGUGGAAUUUCCGGUGUAGCAGUGAAAUGCGUAGAGAUCGGAAGGAACAUCUGUGGCGAAGGCGACUAUCUGGGCCAACACUGACACUGAGGCACGAAAGCGUGGGGAGCAAACAGGAUUAGAUACCCCUGUAGUCCCUGUCUCUUAUAA